UAGGUAAUGGUGAUUAUUGAACAACUUUGUGAAUAUACUAAAAACUACUGAAUUAUACAGUUUAAAAGGGUGAAUCUUACAUGUGAAUUAUAUCUCAAUUUUUAAAAAUCUAAAUACAAAUUUUUAUCAUGAGACCCUUCAAAACACCACUCCCUGCAUUGGGUUUUUGUUUUGUUUUUUUUGUUCUUUUGUUUGUGAAGAGAGAUGGUCUCACUCCACCACUCAGGCUGGUAGAGUGCAAUGGCGUGAUCUCAGCUUACUGCAGCCAGUAAACAAUCCCAGGCUCAAGCGAUCCUCCCGCCUCAGUCCCCCAAGUAGCUGGGGCCACCAGCACGUGCCGCCACAUCCAGCUAAUUUUUGGUUUUUUGGGGGUUUUUCUUGUAGAGACGGGGUUUUGCCAUCUUGCCCAGGCUGGUCUUUAACUCCUGAACUCAGGCAAUCUGCCUCCCAAAGUGUUGGGAUUACAGACAUGAGCCACUGUGCCCGGCCUAUUCCUUAAUUUUGAAUGUUUUUAUAUUAUAUGUAAUAUUUAUUUUCUGUUUUUGUGACUUGUUCUAUGUAGCUUUUUCAAUCUUUAAAAUGUUAGUUUGUCAUUCUAGUGUUUGAAAAUGAGUAAUUCCUUUGGUAAGCUGUUAAACACAUUUUUAUGUUGUAUUUUUAGGCUAUGGAGUUACUAGUAGAGAAAGCAAUCAGCAGUGCUUCUAGCCCUCAGAGCCCUGGGGAUGCACUGAGAAGAGUUUUUGAGUGCAUUUCUUCAGGGAUUAUUCUUAAAGGUAGUCCUGGACUUCUGGAUCCUUGUGAAAAGGAUCCCUUUGAUACCUUGGCAACAAUGACUGACCAGCAGCGUGAAGACAUCACAUCCAGUGCACAGUUUGCAUUGAGACUCCUUGCAUUCCGCCAGAUACACAAAGUUCUAGGCAUGGAUCCAUUACCGCAAAUGAGCCAACGUUUUAACAUCCACAACAACAGGAAACGAAGAAGAGAUAGUGAUGGAGUUGAUGGAUUUGAAGCUGAGGGGAAAAAAGACAAAAAAGAUUAUGAUAACUUUUAAAAAGUGUCUGUAAAUCUUCAGUGUUAAAAAAACAGGUGCCCAUUUGUUGGCUGUUUUUCAUUCAUAAUAAUGUCUACAUUGAAAAAUUUAUCAAGAAUUGAAAGGAUUUCAUGGAAGAACCAAGUUUUUCUAUGACAUUUAAAAAUGUACAGUGUUAGGUAUUAUUUGAAUGGAAAGACACCCAAAAAAAAAAAAAAUGUGCUCCGACUAGGGGGAAAACAGUAGUUCCGAUUUUUUCCCAUUAUUUUUAUUUUAUUUUCUGGUUGCCCUAGCUUCCCCCGCUAUUUUUGUGUCUUUUAUUAACUAGUGCAUUGUCUUAUUAAAUCUUCACUGUAUUUAAUGCAGGAUUUGUGCUUCAGUUGCUCUUGUGUAUUUUGAUAUUUUAAUUUAGAGGUUUUAUUUGCUUUUUGACACUAGUUGUAAGUUACUUUGUGUUAGAGAUGAUAUCCUUUAUCCCUUCUUAAUAUUUUACAGCAGUACGUUUUUUUGUAACGUGAGACUGCAGAGUUUGUUUUUCUAUAUGUGAAGGAUUACAACACAAAAAGUUAUCCUGCCAUUCGAGUGCUCAGAACUGAAUGUUUCUGCAGAUCUUGUGGCAUUUGUCUCUAGUGUGAUAUAUAAAGGUGUAAUUAAGACAGAGUUCUGUUAAUCUAAUCAAGUUUGCUGUUAGUUGUGCAUUAGCAGUAUAAAAGCUAAUAUAUACUAUAUGGUCUUGCAACAGUUUUAAAGCCUCUGCAUAAUUGAUAAUAAAAAUGCAUGACAUUUUUGUUUUUAAUAGACUUUUAAAAUUAUAAUUUUAGGUUUAACACGUAGAUCUUUGUACAGUUGACUUUUUGACAUAGCAAGGCCAAAAAUAACUUUCUGAAUAUUUUUUUCUUGUGUAUAAGUGGAAAGGGCGUUUUUCACAUAUAAGUGGGCUAACCAAUAUUUUCAGAAGAACUUCAUCAUUGUGCAACUAACAACAGUAACUAGCCCUUAAUUAUGGUGACAGUUCCUUAUUGGUGUGUGUGAGAUUACUCUAGCAACUAUUACAGUAUAACACAGAUGAUCUUCUCCACACACCCCAUCACCCAGAUAAUUUACAGUUCUGUUAACAGUGAGGUUGAUAAAGUAUUACUGAUAAAAAAUUAAGAUUAUCUAAGG
RNAcentral lists this small RNA (2194 nucleotides) under Pongo abelii (Sumatran orangutan). RNAcentral describes it as "retained intron". Lineage: Eukaryota; Metazoa; Chordata; Mammalia; Primates; Hominidae. The record is from RNAcentral.